Molecule: ribosomal RNA, 383 nt
Filed under: uncultured eukaryote
Lineage: Eukaryota
Description: partial 18S ribosomal RNA
Rfam family: Eukaryotic small subunit ribosomal RNA
Source: RNAcentral
CAAUAGCGUAUAUUAAAGUUGUUGCAGUUAAAAAGCUCGUAGUUGGAUUUCUGGUGGGAGCGAUCGGUCUGGCGCUUAGCGCAAGUACUUGCAUCGUCUCCGGCCAUCCUUGGGGAGAGUCUGUCUGGCAUUAGGUUGUCGGGCAGAGGAUCCUCAUCGUUUACUGUGAAAAAAUUAGAGUGUUCAAAGCAGGCUUAUGCCGUUGAAUAUAUUAGCAUGGAAUAACAAGAUAGGACUUUGGUACUAUUUUGUUGGUUUGCGCACCAAAGUAAUGAUUAAUAGGGACAGUUGGGGGUAUUCGUAUUCCGUUGUCAGAGGUGAAAUUCUUGGAUUUACGGAAGACGAACUACUGCGAAAGCAUUUACCAAGGAUGUUUNCAUUAA